UUGCCUAAACUAGAUAAUGUAAGAAAGCCCACUUUAUAUUGAACGUAACGGCUCUUGCUAUCGUAUAUCGCCUCUUAUCAUAAAAUUGUGCUGUUGAAAAUUGAAUUGCUGUUUUAAAAAAGUAAAAUAACUUUAGAAUCGGUGAUAAACUGUGAUUAAAACUCUUUAACAUAAUGUUAAUAGAAUAACCAGUUUUUUAAUUUCGAUCAUGACUUUCAAAAACACAUAUUCCUAAAAUCAAAAGCGAAAAAAAUAUUUUAUUAUUCAAGCAAACCUAGAAUACACAAAGUUUUCUAUUUUAGUUUAAGAUUUUUAUAAUUCGUGUCUAACCUAGCAUUAUACGAAUAUUAAAAUCUAGACAUGGUGUAUGUGUGCUUUUCAACUAAAAUAUCCCAAUGUAUAAAUGUCUUUCCUAAGUUUUGUAUAUUUCAUUCAUUUCGAAAAAUAUUACAGUUAUGUAUUUGUACCUAACAAAAGAUACAGGUUAUAGUUUAAUAACAUUUUAUUUGAUAGAAUAUAAACUUGGACUGUACAUGAAUUCAUAUAAUUUCAGACAAUAUACAAAAGGGUUGGGUCGAAGGUAAUUACAGCAGUUUCUCAGGCUGCUCCCUAAUAAACGACCUGUCUAUAUUUGCAACGUUUCACAUUCCCAUUAGAUAUAUAUUACAUAUUAUUUGUAAACAAUUUGAUACAUUGUCAUUGAAAGCACGCAAUCGAAAACGGCUUGUAUAUUUAUUUUAAUUUGCUUAUUUUUAUACAGUUUGACUACAUUUGCCGUAAGGCAACAUUUUUUCAUAUGAUGAUUGAUAUUGAAUAAAAACCAAUAGGUUCUGUCCUAUAUCUUUGAAAAUAUUGUUUAAUUUUACGACCGAUUGUUUUAAAGAUUAUCCUGGGAGUGAAGCAAAAAUAGCUGUGAUCAAUGGAACAUUGCAGGGAAAACUAAUUCAUCCUGGAGAAACCAUUUAUCACAUUGCUCCAAGUUCCUGGUUGUUCAAACAGCCAACACCAUUUCAUACAGUGAUAUACUCUGAAAAAGACUAUCUAUGGAAUCACACAUUCCACUCAGAUGGGUACAAAAUGCAGGGAGUAAGACUCAGUUGAUGAAUAAUAAGCCAAGAGGCAGACGGAAACGAGAUUUACU
This is a long non-coding RNA of Ruditapes philippinarum (Manila clam), 1141 nucleotides long. RefSeq lists it as uncharacterized. The transcript has 3 exons. Lineage: Eukaryota; Metazoa; Mollusca; Bivalvia; Venerida; Veneridae. The record is from RefSeq and is a predicted model, not a curated record.